CCGGCCACCGCCCACACCACCCCAUCCACGCCGGAGGUCGGAUCCUCUGUCCCGAAAACAUGUCUGUCCCGGUGUCCCACUUGCUAAACGACAAAAUUUUAAACAGUGUCUUAAAAAAUAUAGUUUUCCCGUGACUAACUUUACCCUUCUUUCCCGUGCUUUUCCUGUGCCCUAAAAGCCUUUGGCAUCGGCGCUCCCAGCAGCAUCUUCGACGUGCUCCGUCGCAGCUCCGGCUUCCCCUCCCUUCGUCGACGGCAACUGCUCCGACUUCCCCUCCUAAAAAGCCUUCGGCAUCGACGACUCCCAGCAGCCAUCUUUGGCGUGGUCUGCCGCAACUCCGGCUUCCCUUCCCUUCGUCGACGAAAGCAGCUCCGGCUUCCCCUCCCUUCGUCGGCGGCAGCAUCUCCGGCUUCCUCUCCCUUCGUCGACUCCAGCAGGUUGCUAUUGAAUGGCAUCAUCAAGUAACAGCAGCAUCAACCAUACCAAAUUUGAAACUAUACGAUGCAGGGAUUGUGGACUAAGAGCAUUGGUGCUAGUCUCUAGAUCAAUCAAGAACCCAGGAAGAUUAUAUUAUGGAUGUAAGCAGCAUGGAUGGUUAAAGUGGGUAAGGUCUGAUACUGGACUAAAUGAAGACACCAGUGACAUAUAUUGUAGGAUGUUACCAAGAGUGGAGUCAAGGUUAGGAAGUGAAUAUAUUACUUAUCCUAGACAUAAUAUGGGAAAUUGUAAUAUACCGCAUAUGGUCUGGAUAUUAGUGAUAGUAAACUUAAUUCUUUUGGCUGUAUAUUUGUUUUGUUUGUUAGUUGGUCUGGUUAAGUAAUGCUAGUGUUGUAAUGUGAUAAAGAAAUAUAAUUAUGAAUGAUGUCGACAUUUGGUUUUAUUUUGUUUAUGGAUGGAUAUUAAUUCUGUAUUA
Zingiber officinale is the source of this 913-nucleotide long non-coding RNA. RefSeq lists it as uncharacterized. The transcript has 2 exons. The record is from RefSeq and is a predicted model, not a curated record. Lineage: Eukaryota; Viridiplantae; Streptophyta; Magnoliopsida; Zingiberales; Zingiberaceae.